Molecule: ribosomal RNA, 521 nt
Filed under: uncultured Archaeorhizomycetes
Lineage: Eukaryota; Fungi; Ascomycota; Archaeorhizomycetes
Description: eukaryotic LSU rRNA
Rfam family: Eukaryotic large subunit ribosomal RNA
Source: RNAcentral
UGGAACAGGAGGUCAUGGAGGGUGAGAACCCCGUACAUGGCUUGGGCGUGAACAGCGGGGUGACGCAUCCUCUAAGAGUCGGGUUGUUUGGGAAUGCAGCUCAAAAUGGGUGGUAAAUUUCAUCUAAAGCUAAAUAUGGGCGAGAGACCGAUAGCAAACAAGUAGAGUGAUCGAAAGAUGAAAAGUACUUUGAAAAGAGAGUGAAACAGUACGUGAAAUUGUUGAAAGGGAAGCGUUUGGCAUCAGCCCAUGGCGGUGGUACGAACAUCCUUGCUUCGGUAUGGUGCACUCGUCCACCGUUGGGCCAGCGUCGGCUCUGCCUGCCAGAGAAAGGCCUUGGGGAAGUGGCUCUCCCUUCGGGGAGCGUGUUAUAACCCAUGGUGUCAUGUGGCUUAGGCGGGGCCGAGGUCCGCGGUUUUGUCCUAGGACGCUGGCGUAAUGGUUCCAAGCGACCCGUCUUGAAACACGGACCAAGGAGUCUAACAUCUAUGCGAGUGUUUGGGUGUCAAGCCCGACCGCGC